RNAcentral lists this long non-coding RNA (645 nucleotides) under Apteryx rowi (Okarito brown kiwi). RNAcentral's name for it is "lncRNA (ENSARWG00000017906.1)". Lineage: Eukaryota; Metazoa; Chordata; Aves; Apterygiformes; Apterygidae. The record is from RNAcentral.
UCAGAGACAGACCCAUGCAUUUGCCCACUGCUUGACAAGCCUCUCUCUUGCCUUUCAGAGCUCCUACUGCCCCACUCCUCCAGCCUCCGUCAGGAGAAGGCAGUACGACAGAGAGCUCCGGGAGAGGAGGGAGGCGUGGGCAAAGGAGCCAAGGUGGAAACCAGGGCAGCUCUCCCAGCAGCAGUAAGUGUGCACAGCCCCAGUGUGGCCGAGUGCAGCUGAAGAGCAGGGAGCUGGCAGCRGGUCAAAGAUCCCGACCCAGAGCCGUGGGACUGGAUAUGGCAUCUUCUGAUUUCUCCUGKCCUGGGAAUGCCCUGGGUCAGCCCUGGACUCCUGGUUCCUCUCCACAGCCCGAAGCAAAUGCUUUGGUCUUGCGCUGAGUUGAGGACUACAGGCACGAGUCCCUGCCAGCAAUCCAGAGCCAGCGCCGGACGGGGGUGCCUAAAGCCUGGCAGGAGGAGGAGAAGAAGAGGGCAGAGCGCAACCCCUGCAGGGCUUACGGAGAGGAGCAGCUCAUCUGCACCGGGAAGAAGAUGCCCUUGGAGCAGCGGAGGGGAAGGCGCUAGGAACGGCUGCCRUGCRAAGGGGAGACCACCCUGUACCUGAGAUGGACUUCUCUGCAGGGAAUAAAGAGAGAGGUGCUGC